AAUGAUGUUCCUUGAAAUUCUGUUUCUCCUGGGCCAAAUAAUGGUCAGCCACGCAUCAGAUCAUUGUGAUUCUCUGGAGGGGGUCUUGGCAAACUACCCCCAGUGCACUGCCAUUGAUUGCAUUGGUCUCACUUGCACGCCACCAGUCCCCUUUGAAAACGUCACUGGCAAACUAUAGACUAUCUGACCUACCCUCACAGACUAAUGAUUGCUGUACCUAACAUCAUUAACGCAAUCAUGCUAGACAGCUGCAGCCUGUCUCUCUGUUGUGACCACU
This is a long non-coding RNA of Halichondria panicea, 277 nucleotides long. RefSeq lists it as uncharacterized. The transcript has 3 exons. Lineage: Eukaryota; Metazoa; Porifera; Demospongiae; Suberitida; Halichondriidae. The record is from RefSeq and is a predicted model, not a curated record.